UGUGGUGUAGCUCAGAGGUAGAGCGGCCCUCAAAGUGGGCGGCGUCGCUGGCUCGAAACCAGCCACCACACC
This 72-nucleotide transfer RNA is filed under the name Serratia marcescens. RNAcentral's name for it is "tRNA-Phe(aaa)". It matches the Rfam family "tRNA". From Rfam's summary of the family: Transfer RNA (tRNA) molecules are approximately 80 nucleotides in length. Their secondary structure includes four short double-helical elements and three loops (D, anti-codon, and T loops). The record is from RNAcentral. Lineage: Bacteria; Pseudomonadati; Pseudomonadota; Gammaproteobacteria; Enterobacterales; Yersiniaceae.